RNAcentral lists this ribosomal RNA (463 nucleotides) under uncultured soil bacterium. Its description in RNAcentral is "bacterial SSU rRNA". It matches the Rfam family "Bacterial small subunit ribosomal RNA", at positions 61 to 519 of the family's 1533-position model. The record is from RNAcentral.
GUCGAGCGGAUGAAGAGAGCUUGCUCUCUGAUUCAGCGNNNGACGGGUGAGUAAUGCCUAGGAAUCUGCCUGGUAGUGGGGGACAACGUCUCGAAAGGGACGCUAAUACCGCAUACGUCCUACGGGAGAAAGCAGGGGACCUUCGGGCCUUGCGCUAUCAGAUGAGCCUAGGUCGGAUUAGCUAGUUGGUGAGGUAAUGGCUCACCAAGGCGACGAUCCGUAACUGGUCUGAGAGGAUGAUCAGUCACACUGGAACUGAGACACGGUCCAGACUCCUACGGGAGGCAGCAGUGGGGAAUAUUGGACAAUGGGCGAAAGCCUGAUCCAGCCAUGCCGCGUGUGUGAAGAAGGUCUUCGGAUUGUAAAGCACUUUUGGCGGGAACGAAACGGCGAUGACUAAUACUUUUCGCUAAUGACGGUACCCGCAGAAUAAGCCCCGGCUAACUCCGUGCCAGCAGCCGCG